This 506-nucleotide ribosomal RNA is filed under the name uncultured bacterium. RNAcentral's name for it is "partial 16S ribosomal RNA". It matches the Rfam family "Bacterial small subunit ribosomal RNA", at positions 29 to 523 of the family's 1533-position model. The record is from RNAcentral.
AUUGAACGCUGGCGGCAGGCCUAACACAUGCAAGUCGGACGGUAGCACAGAGGAGCUUGCUCCUCGGGUGACGAGUGGCGGACGGGUGAGGAAUGUCUUGGGAUCUGCCCGAUAGAGGGGGAUAACCACUGGAAACGGUGGCUAAUACCGCAUAACGUCGCAAGACCAAAGAGGGGGACCUUCGGGCCUCUCACUAUCGGAUGAACCCAGAUGGGAUUAGCUAGUAGGCGGGGUAAUGGCCCACCUAGGCGACGAUCCCUAGCUGGUCUGAGAGGAUGACCAGCCACACUGGAACUGAGACACGGUCCAGACUCCUACGGGAGGCAGCAGUGGGGAAUAUUGCACAAUGGGCGCAAGCCUGAUGCAGCCAUGCCGCGUGUAUGAAGAAGGCCUUCGGGUUGUAAAGUACUUUCAGCGGGGAGGAAGGCGAUAAGGUUAAUAACCUUGUCGAUUGACGUUACCCGCAGAAGAAGCACCGGCUAACUCCGUGCCAGCAGCCGCGGUAA